Molecule: small RNA, 2010 nt
Filed under: Pongo abelii (Sumatran orangutan)
Lineage: Eukaryota; Metazoa; Chordata; Mammalia; Primates; Hominidae
Description: retained intron
Source: RNAcentral
CUCUACUAAAAAUACAAAAAAAAUAGCUGGGUGUGGAGGUACACGCCUGUAAUCCCAGCUACUCAGGAGGCUGAGGCAGGAAAAUCGCUUGAACCCGGGAGGCGGAGGGUGCAGUGAGCCGAGAUCGCGCCACUGCUCUCCAGCCUGGGCAACAAGAGCAAAACCUCCGUCUUGGAAAAAAAAGUGUGGUUCCGGGGCCUCCCAGGGGACAGCAUGUCAUAGGUUGCCCAGGCCUCCAAGCGUGGUCGGUGCGCCUCCAACUGCAGCCUUGGUGCCCACUCCACCAACCGGCAGAAGAGCCGGCCCUGAGUGCUGAUGGGGGGAUGUGUGUCUGAUGGAGGGGUCUCCUGAGAGGUCAGUGAUUGCUUACGAUGGGGCUUCCCUCCCAAGUCAUCAAGUUCAAGGGAGGCUGCAUCCCAUGGGUCUCUUUCAACACCAGUCCUGACUGAAGAGCCGCUCUCUUCAGCAGUUUAUUGUUGGAGCGAGUGCUGGAAUUGAGUCAUUGUCACUGGAACAGCUGGUCACCGCCCAAAGACGGGGAGCCUGGGUCCCAGAGACCAGUCCCCAACAUGGGUGCUGGGUCUGGGGAGAUGGCCCGUGACCAGGCUGGGGUGGCAUUUCCCUGACACUGGGCCUUUGUAGUGACAAUCCCCUCUGUGCUGGCCCUGCUUCUCAACAGUGGGACGGCUGAGGCCUCUGACUCCUGGGUGUGAGGCCAGCUGUGACGCUGACCAUCUGCUUGGCCUGUCAGUGGCCAGGGCGCUCUUGAGGUGGCCUCCACUCUUCCCCUAGCCCUGGGUGCAGGUGGGCACCUCUGCAGGAGCCAGUCGUCUGGGGGUUCUUUGAAGGCAGGAACCCCCACAGGCCCCAGGGCACAGCAGCGCCUCAAUUAGCCGAGAACGAGGCCUCUUGUGGUGAUGUGGCUCUUGUUGUCUGUCCCGGGCCCUGGGGCACCCGGCUGAGUGUCUUGGUCCCUCUCCCACCCCCACUGUGAGCUUGGGGUCUCCCCUCAGAGGCCUGAGGAGAUGGUGUUCCCUGGGUGCUCCUGAGCACCAGCCCUCACUGCCAGGCUACUCUUGGAGCAGCACAAGGUUAGGAAGGUGUCCUGGCCACCGCCUUGGGGAUGGUGGCCACCUGGGCACUCAGGGUCUCCUUUGGGCCGUCUUACCUCAUCUCCCUCCUCCAGGAGGCAACGCACGGGCCACAGGCAUGUUCCUGCAGUAUACAGUGCCGGGGACGGAGGGUGUGACCCAGCUGAAGCUGACAGCGGUGGAGGACGCGAAUGUGGGCAGGAGGCAGGCGGUGGCAUGGCUAGUGGCCAUGCACAAGGCUGCCAAGCUCCUCUACGAAUCUCGGGACCAGUAACUCUGCGUGGGGCUGAGCUUGGAGUACGUGUGGUCGCCACGACUGAGUCGCUUGGAACAGCAGAGCCUGCUCUUUGCGUACCACAGGCAUUAAUCCUGCUUGUGCUGGGAAAUGCAACUCAUGUAUUUGGAGAAACAGAAGUGUUCACUUAUUUAGUGCAAUAUGUUCACAGUUUAUUAAUGCUUUAAACAGCUUCAUGUUUUAGAAUUUGUGUAUUGUCAAUACUUAAUUGGGGGUGGGAGAGACUGAGCUACACUACUGCUGAACUAUUUUUAGCAUAAUAUAUACCAUUUUUAUGAGUUCCCAUGUUUACUAGAAGGUUCUGGCCCAUCAAUAUUCAUUUCAUUUAAUUCUUCCACAGAACCAGUUUGGGGAGUAGGAACUCAGGCUUCUGGUCUGCAGUGGAGCCUGCUCACCUCUAAUAGCCAGUUUACAGCACUUGCCUUAGCCUGUUUUACAGACUGUCCACUUACCUUGUCACUAAUUUGGGGCUUCUGGGCUGUGAGUGAUCCUUUGAUACUUCACCAAGGGGAACGUGGGGGCUUUGUGUUUUGUACUUUACUUUUCACUCACUAUUUCACUUUAUUAAGAUGACUGUACAGCAAUUUGUAUAUAAAGCUUAUGAUUAAAACCUAUUUUGAACAU